UGGAGCCAUUGUUAUUGGGGCUUCUAAAACAGUUCAUGGACCACCUCUCCAAUUGAAAACAUAAAAUAUUAAGGAUGGUUAAUCAAGAUUAAUAGCUUAUGUAGAAAAAGAUGGUCGCAGUCUCGCAGAAUGCAUAUCAGUGAUGAAAAAACAAUCUGAAUCUUGUAUCAUCUGUAAAAUCCUACUGCUCAGGGUGAAAUAAUUCUAUUAAAUUAUGAGAACACCAAAA
RNAcentral lists this unclassified non-coding RNA (229 nucleotides) under Hevea brasiliensis (rubber tree). The record is from RNAcentral. Lineage: Eukaryota; Viridiplantae; Streptophyta; Magnoliopsida; Malpighiales; Euphorbiaceae.